GCAGUGGGACGAAAAGACCCCGUGAACCUUUACUAUAGCUUAGUAUUGGCUUUGGAUAAGUAAUGUGUAGGAUAGGUGGGAGACUUUGAAGCUGUGUCGCUAGGCAUGGUGGAGUCGUCCUUGAAAUACCACCCUUUGAUUAGUUGGUUUCUAACUCGAAAGAGGACCGCGUUUGGUGGGUAGUUUGACUGGGGUGGUCGCCUCCAAAAGAGUAACGGAGGCUUCUAAAGGUACCCUCAGUACGGUUGGUAAUCGUACGUAGAGUGUAAUGGCACAAGGGUGCUUGACUGCGAGACCUACAAGUCGACCAGGUACGAAAGUAGAGCAUAGUGAUCCGGUGGUUCCGUAUGGAAGGGCCAUCGCUCAAAGGAUAAAAGGUACUCCGGGGAUAA
RNAcentral lists this ribosomal RNA (392 nucleotides) under Striatella unipunctata. RNAcentral's name for it is "partial Bacterial large subunit ribosomal RNA". It matches the Rfam family "Bacterial large subunit ribosomal RNA", at positions 2072 to 2477 of the family's 2925-position model. Lineage: Eukaryota; Bacillariophyta; Striatellaphyceae; Striatellales; Striatellaceae. The record is from RNAcentral.